Molecule: long non-coding RNA, 4666 nt
Filed under: Citrus x clementina
Lineage: Eukaryota; Viridiplantae; Streptophyta; Magnoliopsida; Sapindales; Rutaceae
Description: Citrus clementina (C. clementina) long non-coding RNA (CCLE_LNC003511)
Source: RNAcentral
AAUACCUGUCUUUCUCUCUUCCAACGUCUUCUCAAUUUGUUAAAUGGCUACAGCUCUCACGAUUCUUCACUUAUUUCCUUUAUAUAUUUUCUAGUUAAUUUCAUCCAAGUCUAAAAUUUUAUAAUAAUUACACAUCAAGUAAAUUAUUUUGGACUUUGGACUUUUUGGUCCACCAAAGUGAGAUAGACCCCACAUUAUUAAGUUAAAAGAUCCUACUUUUUUAUUGUUUAUUAUUAUAAUUAAUUUUAUGUUAUUAUGGUGAUUUCGAUGAAAAUAGAUAUAUAAAAUAGAUGAUUCAGAUAAUAUUUUUUUAGAAAAAAAAUCAAAUAAUAAGCUCAAACUUUAAGAAAAAUAGAGAAUUAUUCUUGCAUUUAUCUAAAAAAAGAACAAUAGAGAACUAUUCUUCUUAUAUGUACAUGAUAAUAACACUAAUAUAUUAGAUAUUUUCCUCAGUAAAUAUUAUGACAACGCAACACCUAUAUAAACAACGCAUGUCACCAAUUACAAUUUUUCUAACAACUUGAUUAGCAUGUCUUCAUACACGCGUUGGACCGCAAGCAAAAUUCCUGUGCUUUAUGAAAAGUCUCAUGCGAAUGCAAAAGUUUGUCUUUACUCUUUAGAAGUGAAUUUUUUUUUUUUUUUUUCGGUAGUUAUGUAUAUAAGAUUGUUGGUCUCGUUGUUCACACUCUAAACUCAAAUUUCACCUUCAAAAGGUUAGGUGUAAUUAUGAGUUAAAGCUAGAGUCGGCUGCUAUUCAUUUCAUGCCAAAUUUAGAUUUAUUUAAACAUGACGCAUUUAAAAUCUUAUCAAAAAUUUGAAAUCUUAACAUGACAUAGAAGAUAAUUAAGACAUGAUAAUUUAUUUUAUAACAGGGUAAUCAUGUCACCUGGACAAGAGAUGACUCAAAAACUCACGUCGAUAAUAUAAAUUGAACUCGAUUUACAUGAAUAUAUAUUACUAGCUCCCUCAUUAUUUAACAAAGAUUGCACGCAUUUAUAUAUCUGAACAAUAUAUGUAUUGAUAAUAUUAUCCAAUAUAAAUGGUUAUUAAAAUGAUAAAAAAUCAUAUUUAAUUAAGCUAUUAAUCAUAUUAAAGUACAUGUGAUGGAGGCUAAAGUAAAAUGUGAUGAAUAUUCUUAGAUGUUUUCGUAAAUAUAAAAAAAUCUUCAUUUUUAUAUAGGUUAGUGAGUCGACCCACACAACUACCAUUUACUAAUAUGUUGAACGUUGGUGGGUCAAGACUUGUAAUUAACCUCAACUAAUAUGUUUAUACCUUAUCUAAUUCAAUCGAAUAAAAUUAAGUAUAGUCCAAUCCAACGUGACAUACCAAAAUGUACCUUAAAGUGUAUCAAAUCGAAGAUUCUAAAUAUACCUCUCAAAACAUAAAAUAAAACUAUUUAAGAAAAGAUUCAAAUGUAAAUGUAAAUAAAGGCCAAAUAAAUAAAUAAUUGGACUAAACGCAAUAAACCCACCCACAAUUAACUAUAGAUGAAUGAAUAUUAUAUAAUAAUUAAAAAGAGAAAGAAAUCAUUGUAGUGUAAAAGGGAUAUACAAUCAACGCUUGAAAAAAUAAUAAAUCACACACACUUGAUACUUAUUUAUGAGAAAUAAUUAAUUACGAUCGCUUAAUUAAUAUAAGCAAGUAAGCAAGCAACAAGAAUAAUGGUGGUAAAUAACAAAAGGUAUAUGGUCUAACCCAGCCUACGCUUCUUCAGUAAAACGAGUGAUUGAUUGAAUGUGUACUAGAUUAAGAAGCAAAUAAAUAUAUCAAACUUGGAAUGGUCCCCAUUGAUCUCAUGCUAAUCAGCGGAGAACAUAAAAGUCUUGAAUACCUAAAAUUAAUUAAUUAGUUCACUAACUUAAGCAAUGACCCUGGUAGCAGUUUUAUUCAUAAUUAAAAGAUAUAAAAAGUUGAGAAAUGAGGCAAUAUUAAAGAAAUACAUCAAGUUAAUGAAAACAAUAGUUUGGACUUCCCUUGAUGUCAUUGAGAAUUAGUUUAUGAAUAUCGAUCGGAGGAGAAUCCCACCAGAUUAUCCGAAAAUAGUUUAGUCGUAUAUUUACAAAUGUGUCAGCCACUAAAUUUCCUUCUCGAUAAAUAUAGGAGGAAUAGAAAUUUAGGUCGAAAAUUUGAGACUUGCAAAUUUGAAAUCCAAAAAUAUUAGUAUGAAGCCUUUAAGGAGAACAGAAGUUAUCAUUAUGAAGAACCAAUGUUUUUUAUGUCAUAUGUAAUUUUUUUUCACUUCAUCGAAGAAUGAAGAUAAUCAAUCGUACGUGUAUUUCUCUGAGUAACUGUUGUGCUUUGAUUUCUAACAUAAUAAUGCAACCUUAAUUUGGAGUAAAGAAGUACUACUUUAUGCAAUUGUCCUUUCAUUUGUAAAAUUUAAUUAAGAAUAGAGUAAAAGAAAAAAGAAAUUUAAGCCUUUGUUUGUCUGAUCUGCUAUCGUCUCACUCACAUCAUUAAGUGCUUGUACUCUAGAAGUCGAGCUGUUAAUUUCACAAAGAUAAAAUGAAAGAUAUUAUCAUUUUAUGAGAUGAUGACCAAUUCUUCUUUUCUUACUUUAAUAGGGAAAGUAGAUCCAACAUGAACAUAAACAAAACAUAAGUAACUUAGAAGGCGAUUCCACCACCUCAUCCUUCUGCAUGUGUUACUCAUAUUUAUAUUGAUUUGGCUAACCGUAAACUAUUGGAAAUGUAACUUAGUAAGAGCCACAUGGUAAAUGCAAGUCGUUGACUUUUCUUCCUUCUUCUACUUCUUCUCCUUCCCCUCCCUCACCCUUACCACAAGUAACCAUAAAAAAAUGUGCUUAUGUUAAAAAAUGAUGAUUAUUUUUGUUCCAAAGUUCUACGUAUGAUUGAAAAAAAACUAAUAACAAUAUUAUUGCUACAUUGGCAUAAACUAAAAUGAUAUUUAAUCUAAAAGUAUGCAUGCUUUAGAAUUAAUGUUAAGCAUGCAUUGAUAUUUAAUGUAAAAGCAUGCAUUAGAAUUAAUGUUGAGCAUGCAUUGGCAUUUAAUGUAAAGCAGGCAUUAGAAUUAAUGUUCAGCAUGCAUCGGCAUUUAAUGUAAAAGCAUGUAGAAGAAUUAAUGUUAAUGAAGAAAUGAAAGCUAUAAAUAGUAAGCUUAAGGCGUCAAUCAUUUUAGUUAAGAAAAUCCAACAAAGAGUCUAAAGAAGAACAUUUUCCAAUUUCUAAAACCAAUUUCUAAACACACUUCCAUAUUCAUUUCCCAUAAAUGUUCCGUUUUCUCACAUUUAUCGUAAUUACAAUUGCUAGACUACAACAAUCCUAGAAAAAUAAUAUUAAACUACUGGUUCUCUAUUAUUCAUUAGUAUACUCUGCUCUCACAUCACUAUUCAUAGCAUGUGCUAUUAUUGUUUGAGUUCAAAUCCAUCUAGACUACAACAAUCCUAGAAAAAUAAUAUUAAGCUACUAGUUCUCUAUUAUUUAUUAGUAUACUCUGCUCUCACAUCACUAUUCAUAGCGUGUGCUAUUAUUGUUUGAGUUCAAAUCCAUUACUCAACAAAACAACAAACAUCGUUAAAGUUGCAAUUGGAGCUUAUUUAAGCCAUAUCAAUGCUUGAAUAUGCUCUUGGACCUUACUCUCCAAACCACACAACAGAAUCAGGCGGAUCGCAGACCAUUAAGCUCGAAUUUCAAAUUAAGCCUAAAUGUAUUUCAAUCUAGAAAGAGCCUUUUCUUAUGACACGUGGCUUGGUGAAAUUCCCACCCCAAACAAAGAGUAAAGGCAUUAGACAUGGUGGAUUAAAUUCAUAUAACCUCACUAAUUAAUUUCGUGACCCAAAAAACAGAAUCCAUUUUGCUCUAGUUAGGCUCCAAACUUUGAAUAUAAUAUGGUGUACAUUUAGUAGAUAGUAUGUUGUGUUAGUAGAUUUAGCUAAAAGGGACUACAACUAUUGGGCUGACCACUCCAAACUCAUAUAAGAAUUACAAAUAAGAGGGUGAUAACUGACAAGAAGAAAUAUUGUUAGAAAUAAUAAGUGACUUUGCAUUCCUAUUCAAUAUGUCCACCACAUGGCUACAAAAAUGCUUACUUAGCGGCCAAGCUUAUUAUCUUCCUUACUACUCUGGAACCGGAAGUGGCUAACUAGGCAACCGUGCUUAUUAUAUUCCUCACUAGUCUAGAACUGGAAGCAGCUCACUCGGAAGGCUAAUGGUUACUAUGGCGUUUCAAGGUAGAGAGAGUAAAAGCAAACAACUUUAUGUCCACUUAAUUCUUAAGAAAAUUAAUCUGCCCUAAAAGAUCAGAUCUUUUUUUUAAAAAAAAACAUAAAAUUAAAGUUGUCUUUUUUAUUUAAUCUACCUAUCACAGUAAAAGUGGUGCUGAAUCUUGAAAGGGUUAGGCAUGCUUGAACAGUUUUGAAAAUUUCACUGUUGUCAACGUUACCAUUUUUAAGUUCUUUUCCUACAAUAAUAAAGUUAUAAUCUUUUCAGUUCCUACGUUAUUCUCCGACAAUGAAUUGUCACGCUUUCCAAACCCAACAAUGGGUAGUUCUUUUCCCUUAUCAAAGUUACUACUUUUAAGCUCUGUUCCUAAUUCUUAUAGAUAAUAAAGCUUUUAUUUUUAGGUACCACUACUCUCUUCUACCCAAAGGCUUCAAAAUGUAAUUUUCUGAGUGCACAUUACAAAUAAUUUUAUAAUUUAAUAUUAU